GGGAACCUGGCUGACAGCAGGCUGAGCCACCCUAGUAUCGCGGCCCGCGAGCGCGCGGGCGGGUGGCGCCAAGUGGUCAGCGUAUUAGGCCCCUAUUUUAAAUUCCAAAAGGUAGGUGCCACCAAAGCUCUCAGAUUCUUCAUCUACAGUUGCGGAUAUUCUGAGCAUUUCUGGACUGGGAAAGCCCGCUUUUCACCCACCUGCCAAAGGAGUUGAAAGCAUGUAGGUUCCCACCGCUGCGGGGGAACCCGGACUGUCAGACUCCCUCAUCAGGCUGCUCCUCUCGAGUAUUUCGGGGCACGGACUUGCUCGUCUCCGGAAGACAGUACGGUCUGCUCCUCGUGGGUCUUUAGAGAAAGAACACAGCUGUUGUCUGAAUAUUUAACUCUGUGGUGAUAAGGUAUGCACUCAGAAGUACCCAGAAGAUCCUGCACAGUUAGCAGUUAUUUCUUCCAACAUGUUUGUUUCCUCAGAUAGAAGGAAAGAGAAAAUUUACAUUUUGUGCAAGAAAAAAAAUAAGUAAAAUUUACACUUGUGGAUAGAUUAGUGUCCAGUUUUAAAAAGUAAUUCUGUCUGAGCUUGAACCAUUUUUUUUUCACAAAACACAUAACAUUGGAAGAAAUUAUAACACUAGUAAUAAAAACUUAACUUGAAAUAGCCUCUAGUUUUAGUGCUUUUUAAUAGAUAGUAUUUUUGUGGAUUGAAAUAAAGUUCCACUGAACCAACGUGUCAUAAAUGCACCUUGAUUUGGUUUUCCGUUUAACAAUUUAAGAAGUCUUUUUUCCCCUGCAUUCACACUGUCAUAUAAACAAAAUAAUGUUAGCAAAAUUUAUCAAGACAUUUUAAAAAUAUGUUCAAGUAUGUCCAAUUAGGUAUUUGAGGAUUGUUACAGGUUUUACUCCAUCUGACUAUUAAGAAAAUGAGAUUGUUUUUUCUUCCAAAGACUGUUAAAUAUGUGUGUGUGGGCAAUAACCACAGAAAGAUUUAAUUGGUUUUGAGUCAGUUAAGAUUGAAAGUGUUCUGGUUUUUAGUGGCCAUGAAGUUAACACAAAAACUUAUUAAAAGGGAAAAUUGAAUGUGCAAGCUCCAACUCUUUCUUAAAGUUCACUGACUCUUCAUGAACUUCUCACUGACUGACCAAAGACUUGCUUAUAACUUCUCCUACAUUUGAACCUUGUAUGUUGUCAUAUUGUGAUUUAAGUUGAUAUUAAGCCAGUCCUUGCAGAUUUAACUAUAUUUACACUCAAAGCUGGCAGAUUAAAAAAAGUGUGAGUAAAAGCAGAGUUCCUUCUGGGUGUAAAUGAUGUGU
This 1309-nucleotide long non-coding RNA is filed under the name Marmota monax (woodchuck). The record is from RNAcentral. Lineage: Eukaryota; Metazoa; Chordata; Mammalia; Rodentia; Sciuridae.